GGCUGGUCAAACACUAUAAAUCCACCACAUUGAGAGCGGGAAAGAGCGAGCGAGAGAGAGAGAGAGAGAUUAUACUUACUAAUACGGAAGAGCGAAUAGGGGCAUCUGUUCCUGAUCAUGUACUGUGGAGAAAUUCAAAGGUAAAUAUUAUCACACAUUUGAAGCUCUCGGGUCGUUUGUCCAAACGCAGUGGAUACUGAAAAGAAGAGGCCCUGCGUUUUGUCUUCUUUCCUUCUAUUGUAACCAAGAUGCCUUUAUAAACAAACUAUCUGAAAGCGUUGGGUUAUAAGCUAGAUGUAGUGCAAGAUCAAGCUUCCCAACGAGAUAAACCGUCAUCAUUACAUCAGAACAUCUUGGGUAAAGUGUUAGCUUUUAU
Molecule: long non-coding RNA, 376 nt
Organism: Ictalurus punctatus (channel catfish)
Lineage: Eukaryota; Metazoa; Chordata; Actinopteri; Siluriformes; Ictaluridae
Source: Ensembl